This is a long non-coding RNA of Strongylocentrotus purpuratus (purple sea urchin), 401 nucleotides long. RefSeq lists it as uncharacterized. The record is from RefSeq and is a predicted model, not a curated record. NCBI's taxonomy places the organism in Eukaryota, Metazoa, Echinodermata, Echinoidea, Camarodonta, Strongylocentrotidae. The transcript has 3 exons.
AAUUACCCAAUUCGCUCACGUGUUGUAGCGUACCGUUGUUACAUUACGUACGAGAGUCAGGACUUUGUCGGAAACAGCGGACGAAAUGUGAGUGAACAGAUACGAUCUCUUUCGACUUGUAUCUUCAUUGAAGCAGGUCAUAAGAUUUCUUUGCUCCUGCAAGAUUCGCAAUUCUGAAAUCCAAAGCUAUUUUCAACUUCAGCGUACUUCAAGGGAGCUUUUCAUCGGUCGUAAGAGCCCUGAUGUUUGGCGAGCCAUUGAAGAAGAAAAAGAGUAAAGGCAAAAAGAGUAAAGGCAAGAACAAGAAAGGCAAAAACCAAGAGAGAGAACAAAGAGCCAUACAGAAGCUGGAGCCAACGACAGAUGUACAUAGCCCUGAUGUUUGGCGAGCCAUUGAAGAA